AUUGCUUCUUGGCCUUUUGGCUAAGAUCAAGUGUAAAAUAUGAUUUGAUUUACAAACAAGUUGUCAGGAUACUUUGUGUGUUGGGCAUAUCAGUAAGGUGUUUCAAGGGGCGCCUGGGUGGCUCAGUUGGUUAAGUGUCCAACUUUGGCUCAGGUCAUGAUCUCACAGUUCAUGGGUUCGAGCCCCACAUC
Hyaena hyaena (striped hyena) is the source of this 191-nucleotide small nuclear RNA. RefSeq annotates it as U2 spliceosomal RNA. NCBI's taxonomy places the organism in Eukaryota, Metazoa, Chordata, Mammalia, Carnivora, Hyaenidae. The record is from RefSeq and is a predicted model, not a curated record. The transcript has a single exon.